AUUGAACGCUGGCGGCAGGCCUAACACAUGCAAGUCGAGCGGAUGAAGGGAGCUUGCUCCUGGAUUCAGAGGCGGACGGGUGAGUAAUGCAUAGGAAUCUGCCUGGUAGUGGGGGAUGACGUCCGGAAACGGGCGCUAAUACCGCAUACGUGGUGAGGGAGAAAGUGGGGGAUCUUCGGACCUCACGCUAUCAGAGGAGCCUAGGUCGGAUUAGCUAGUUGGUGGGGUAAAGGCCUAUCAAGGCGACGAUCCGUAACUGGUCUGAGAGGAUGAUCAGUCACACUGGAACGUAGACACGCUCCAGACUCCUACGGGAGGCAGCAGUGGGGAAUAUUGGACAAUGGGCGAAAGCCUGAUCCAGCCAUGCCGCGUGUGUGAAGAAGGUCUUCGGAUUGUAAAGCACUUUAAGUUGGGAGGAAGGGCAGUAAGUUAAUACCUUGCUGUUUUGACGUUACCAACAGAAUAAGCACCGGCUAACUUCGUG
This 484-nucleotide ribosomal RNA is filed under the name uncultured bacterium. RNAcentral describes it as "partial 16S ribosomal RNA". It matches the Rfam family "Bacterial small subunit ribosomal RNA", at positions 30 to 507 of the family's 1533-position model. The record is from RNAcentral.